Molecule: long non-coding RNA, 3313 nt
Filed under: Hordeum vulgare
Lineage: Eukaryota; Viridiplantae; Streptophyta; Magnoliopsida; Poales; Poaceae
Description: long non-coding RNA (HVUL_LNC007504)
Source: RNAcentral
CCUACCUAGCCAUGCAAGUUUGCUAGGAAGGAGUAAGGUGUUUAGGCUCAUGGCAUAUGAAGAGGUAAUAUAUUUUCAGUGGUAGGCAGCGAGCAAUAUGACGUAGAAUCGAAACUAACAUAACAAGUCUAGAUAUGGGAUCAAGGUCAUGUCAUCUUGCCUGUGAUAUCCUCAGCUUGGAAUGGUUCUGGAUCGUCCUGCAAGUACUCUCCUGACUCCACGUAAUCGGUCUCCGCUCCCGGUGCUACCCAACACAGGAAUAACAGCCAAUGAACAGCAGCACCACAAAAUGCAACAAUCACAUGAUGCAUGAGAUGAAAGUUGAGCAUGCACCACUAUUUCUAACACUAGCACAAGCAAGAUAAACUACAACGAGUUCCUGGACAGAACUUUGCACUAAACUAUUUGUACAUGCAUGGAAAUGAUAUGGACAGAUGCAUCUCGUAAAAACGGUGCAAAACCAUAUAAAGAACUUUGCAAACGGAGCUACGGAUCAACGGGAAUCAACGAAACACGAUAUGAAGCCCUACGUGAAAGAUUCAUCCCCACAGACACAAUUGGCACAAAUCUGGUGUUCCCAGGUUGCCAAGACAUAUAUUAACCCAACAUGGAUGAAAUGGAGCAAGGUAGAACACCCCAACAACAAUUAAACACAAACUUUGAACAAAAUGUCAAAACUACGCAAUCUGCCAGUUUCUGCAUCUUAGCUGUUUGUGAGCCACAUGCAACAUAGCUACAGGUCUUCAAACAUGACAAAUAAUAUAUGUGGAUGUUGACAACCAAGAACACUACCAUCUCCAGCAAGAAUCACAGCAAAAGGAAUUAAAAUCUAGAAGUUACAAGGCCACAAACUUUCCCAGAACCAUCAGUUCUCAGGGACUUAGUGAAAAUUUCUGCACCUGAGUUUCUGUUUCUGUUCUGAAGCCUUUUGACAGCAAUCAAAACACAAGCUACUGGACUCCAAAUGACUUGAAAAUUGACAGAAAGCUGCACAAACAUACCAGGUUCAAAACACUAGCACUAAACUAAGUCCAGUUCUCAACAUACUGACCUGCACAACCUUAUCUACAGGGGAAGAAAAUGUUUUCAGCAUUCCAGACUUAGUGAAAUUUUCAGAGUUCAAAAUUCUGGAAUUUUUCCAGCCACAUGCCCACUUUGUCUAGGCAUAGUUUGCACAUACAAGUUCCCAAGAGGUGUUUGACACCACUAUGGUAUUGAACACAAACCCCUACAACUAACACACCAAGAUCCAUGCCUUUGGGCUCCAUCUAUACCAUGGAAACAAAGCCCAAACUUUCAACAAAAUGAAAAAUGCAAAUCCAAAAGGUAUACUUUUAAGAUGACAAUGCAUAGGAGGGUUUCAUGUGCACAAUGACAAAGUGACAUGGGGUUUUGAACCCCAUGUUUGUGUCAUGCACAUCAACAACUCCAACACACACACAAUUCCUCUCAAGCACUAGCAUCAAGCUCACACACAAGAAAUCUUUGUAUAACAAAAGGGUAUACCACCCCCCACACAUGGGCAUGUGAUGGUGCACACUCUCCCAAGCACCACUAGUAUCUUUCUAGUAUUCAUGUCACCAACAUUGUGCAAACUACCACAACAAACCACACCCUCACAUGCUAUCAUAAAUAGCUAUCUAGUGCUAUCCCUCACCUCAAGACAUGUGAUGAGGGGGAGGCACCCACACCCCACUAUGUCAAAGCAAGCUAACAAAACUACAAUAUCCCUUAGACCACACCAAGAUUCACAAGCUAGGGCUUUACAAGAAUAGCUAGGGCAACUAAUCACCUCCAAACACUACACCCAAAUUUAACAAGGCACCUAGCAACAUGCCCUAAUCAGGGUUGGCUCCCCAUCACCAAGGUACAACCACUAUAAGAAUCACCGGCUAGCAAAACUAUUUAACACCCCUAGCAUGUAAAACAUUCUCACACUAAAUCUAUACCACUAUUCUAGCAGGAACAGGAGCAAUCACCACUGCGUAGGAGUUUGUAAAAUAAAAAAAAACAACAGGGAACAAAACUGAUGAGACACAAGUGUAGGAGUUAGGAAAACAGGAAAUGAGUAGGCAGGAAAAAGAAAAGAAUGCAAAAAUAAAAAUAAAAAAAAGAAACAGGGCUGCUGGGGUUCGAACCCAGUUCCCUGGUUUCCAGCACCACACAACCACGCCACAGCGCUACGGUGCUACUUGUUGACAGGGGAAGGGAGAUAUGCAAGGUAAUCUGUCUGCACUGCCAUGACCCGAAAUAAACAAGGAAAACAACCAAAAAGGCGCCGAGGGGGGGACUCGAUCCCUAGACCUCUCAACAGGCGCAUGCAUGCGACCGAGAGACACUACCAUCAGGCUACGAACCGGCGUCUGACUAACACUAGAAGGUAAAACAGAAGAACACGCCUCUCACGAGAAGCAUCCCGCCGGCGGCCAGACCGGAGGACGCUGGCGGCGCCACUCCCGGCCACCACCGGCGGGGAAAACCGACGGCGGGGCCCGCAGGACUCUCGGGGAACCCAUUUUUGGUCUAAGCACGGGAGAAGGAGCACCCUUGGCUGCCUUGAACUGCAGCGGCGUUCCUGCAUCCUGCAGUUCGCCUGGGAGCACGGGACAGAGAGCUUGACGGGCAGCCCUGCCUGCGUCGCUACGCUGCACGGCCGGCGUGGAGCUCGUGCAUUCGGCGCUGAGGGACGCGAGGAGAAGACCCGCACCUGCUGGGUGCCCACCUACGCGGGGAGGAAACCUUGUGCAAACUGCAAGCUCUUCUCUGAUGAUAUACGCCUACCGAGACCUAGGUGACACGACCCCAGCUGCCGGCGGCGAGGAGAGCUCCUCUGAUCAUGGCGCUGCUGCAGAGAGGGGGAGGAAGCCCUCUCCUGCACGGUACCUCCAUAACAUACCUACCCCACCCUGCUCCACUCGCGACAACUGCACCCCCACACACAGCUAUCGGACAGAGAAAUGCACACACGCUGGAACGAGCCGGACCGCGGAGGCGGAAGGAAGGAGGACGAGGACGCGGCCUCACCUUGAGGAGAAGAGGGGCGUCGAACGGGGAGGAGGAGCGUCGGAGAGGAAGAAGACGGCCGGACGAAGUCGUCCCGCCGAAGACCGAAGAAGGAGACGGACGCGGAUCGCCCGGUUCGUCCCGUUGACGAGGACGAGCUCGACGGGGGGGGCCGCUCCUCGGGGUCCUAGCGCCGGGAAUGGGACGCGGGGACUCACCCCGAGCCCCCGGACAUGGCGCCCAGUGCCGGAGACGACGGAUCGGCGGCUUGACGGGGGAGGCGCUGCACCCUCUCUCUCUGCUCUCUCUC